This 2045-nucleotide long non-coding RNA is filed under the name Gallus gallus (chicken). RNAcentral's name for it is "lncRNA (ENSGALG00000050175.2)". Lineage: Eukaryota; Metazoa; Chordata; Aves; Galliformes; Phasianidae. The record is from RNAcentral.
UAUAAAUGAUGAAUGGCUAUAAACUCCCUACAAGUGAUAAUGCUUUUUUUCUCAAGUUACUCUGAUACUCAUUUUGAAACAUUACCUUUUCAAAAUGACGGCAUAAUUAUCUCCAGAUAUGCUACUCUCUAUAAUGGUUAUUUUAUUCUGAUUCCUUGUACUUUUUUCUUGUUUGCCUUCACUGGUGAACUUCGAGUUCAACUACCUGAUCACUCCCAGGGCUAACCAAAAGUGAAAGAACGUUAUUGAGGACAUAGUCUAAAUGCCUCUAGAACAUUGGCAUGCAAGGCACUGCGGCAGCAUCAGACAUUCCUUCCUUGCACGCUGGAGGAAAGGGCAAAGCAGCAUCUGAGGAGUCUAACAGCUUGUCUGAAGCUGCGUCUCACUGUCUGCAAGAGUACAGAAUCGUUUUCAUGACCUACCCUGUUCUAAAGCAGCAGUAGUGCCAUGUUCCACACUGUUACCUCUGGCUUUCCUCUGCCACAGUCAGUGACAAGAAGGCAGCACUCACGUGGAGCCAGCUGCAUUUUCAACCACCAUAUGCUCCCCCUGGCAGAAAUGCCCUUGGGGCUUCCCCAGGCUGUUCUGAAGGGAGCAAAUCCCUCCUCAGCAGUCUUGGCUGGGUGACAGGCUGGUCUUUGCAGUAAUUCAAGAAACACUCUUGUUGGAAAGCGUAGGUUUCAAAGAUUCAUUUCUCCAAAGCAGCUGGAAUCCAAGAAAAUGUGUCAAAUCUCCACUGAAGGGAGAAACUGCUGUGCCAGCGCUAAGUUGUUCUUAUUUUAAACAGCAUAGUGAUUGGCCAUGUCGAUGUCAUUAUUUCUCUCUUCCUUGAAGUCGCUGGUUUUCCUGGGACGUGCUGCAGGGCAGUCUGUGAGCCAGCUGUCAUGCCCUGCACCAUAUGGUGGCAGCAGUCAGGAAAUCCCUGUGGGCUACUGCUGGGCUGCUGUGGGAACAGCACUUAUCUGAGCACAGGCCGCUUUUAGAUGGGAUGCAGUGACAGCAUUCACGGGAUCUUGCCUGUGCAUUUGGAGGAGGAUGCUGGAAACAACGACCUCUCAUUUAAGAUCUGUGAUGAACUCAGAAGACACCACUGCAGGACCAUUCAGGGAAGCUGCAGUUCAGUCUGCCCGUUUCCUGAAUCCAGUUUUUCAGAGACCAGAGUUCCAGUGGUUUUCUCUUAAUGGUCAACAUUGAUAUGCUGACAUACUACAUGAUGAUGAAAGUAGUUUAAAAAUGAAAAGAAGAAAUCUGUAAUGCAUCAGCAAUUUUGUCUGGAAACAUUAAUCUCUACUUUCUGAACUCUAAAAGAUAUCCUGUGCCUUUAUUUUAAUUGCAUGCGUUGAUUGUGCACUUACAUUCCUGUUCUAAAAGCACCGAAGUUGUGCUUUCCCACUCAUAGUGUGCAACUUCUUAGUAAAACGUAGAUUCUCUGAGAUGCGUUUCCAUCAGUUGUUCAGAGUGAAACACAGAGGAGUUCUCUUUGUCAGCGCUCAGUGGGAAAAAAAAAACAACAUUUGAAUAACUGUUGUACUUACUGGUACUUUUUCAUAUCUUAAAAUUUAUUGAGAAUUGCACGGUUGGGAACUAACUUUGAGACUCUGAUGAUGUGAGACAACUUUGCAGCACAUUUAGUACUGCAUAGCACUGUGGUGAUGAAAUUCCUCUAGAGAAAUAUAAAAUAUAAAACGCCAAAAUAUUUUCUCAUGUCUUUCCUUUAAAUUAAAUUUCAUGCUGUUUUUACUUUUCUGAAUUGACUCUCGGGGUUUAAUGCCAAAUGCUGAUCAUAAGAUAAAGCUGUAUCAAUUUCUUCUUUAUUUUCUUUGUCCUAUCCUAUUAAGAGAUCUUACUUUAAACUAUCUGGGGUCCUUCAGACAAAAAAAUCAGGGACAAGAAAACAAAACUUCCCAGCCUUUUCAGUCUGACCGCAGCAAUGAAAAAGCUGACAUUUGACUGGCAUUCUGAGAAAAGUUUUUGGAUACAUUAUAAAGUUAGUUCUUGUAAUCACCUCAGUCCAUUCUGCUGUUGACAAUACAUGAAACAUGGAU